UUAUUUUGGCGCUUCGGAUUCAAGUGUUGUCGGUGAUUCAAAAGCUUCCUCCGACCGAUUCUGCAACUCUCGCCGCUCUCGCCGGUGAUUCAAGAAUUCAUCAGCUAUCCCCCAAAACAUGAGGGACGUGCAGAUCAAAGCCCUGCAGAAUAUUCGGGAUGAUUUAUUGCAUGGACUUUGGUCCGAGGGACGAAUCUUCAGAGGCCACGUCGUGGUCUUACAAUAUGGCUGAGCAGCAACCCGUUGAUCCACCUCUUAUCGAUGCACUCUGUUUGAUCAGCCCUGCUGCCAAUUAUGCUUUUGGUAUUGCCAACCAAAAGACCAACAUGUAUCUAGAUUAAACUGUUCAAUAUUGAAUCUGGUUUAUACUUAUUUAUUAAAUAUUAUCUACUUGUUUCAUGGGGAGACUAUAUGCAUGGAUUUUCUCUCUGAGACGGCUCUGGAUUCAGUUUUGUUGGAAUCUUGGAUGCCACAGUUGGGCAGUCUCAUUCAAGUAUGUAAACUUUUUUUUUCCUCAAUAAUGUUUCUGUAAUAUUUUUUAAUCAUUGUUUUCUUUAAUUACAGGCAUAUCAGGUUCAACAUAAUGCUGAUUUGCUGACUGUGUUGAGGACGUUUGCCAGGGAGGGGAUUUCUAAUUGCUGAAUGUUUACUUUUACAUCUACUUUACACCCUCUUUUUUAGAGGAACAUAGCUCCGAGGUUAUAUAGUUUUUAGUUAAUAUAUUUCUUAAUAAUAAAUACUUACAUUUUAAUUAGCUUCUAAGGUCUUUGAUGUUUCUAAGAGUGAUAUCUGCGGAACUAUUCCAGUUGAUGGACCUUUUGGGAAUUUCCCUAUAGUAAGGUACUUGUAUUUUCUUUAUC
This is a long non-coding RNA of Macadamia integrifolia, 860 nucleotides long. RefSeq lists it as uncharacterized. The record is from RefSeq and is a predicted model, not a curated record. The transcript has 4 exons. Lineage: Eukaryota; Viridiplantae; Streptophyta; Magnoliopsida; Proteales; Proteaceae.